UUAAGUUCAGCGGGUAGUCUUACUUGAUUUGAGAUCGAGUUUAACAAGAAUCGUUGCCGACCCUUGUGAAAUCCUGCAUCAGUCAGCCAAAACGUCAAACUCCCUUUAUAUUAGCUGCAGCAAAAGUAAUAAUCCGUUUGACGGGACUAAAUAAAUAUGCUUUUAGCUCAGGAGAAUGUCCAGCUGCACCUGCAUUUCAA
RNAcentral lists this unclassified non-coding RNA (200 nucleotides) under uncultured Mortierella. RNAcentral describes it as "sequence contains ITS2". The record is from RNAcentral. Lineage: Eukaryota; Fungi; Mortierellomycota; Mortierellomycetes; Mortierellales; Mortierellaceae.